This 494-nucleotide ribosomal RNA is filed under the name uncultured bacterium. RNAcentral describes it as "partial 16S ribosomal RNA". It matches the Rfam family "Bacterial small subunit ribosomal RNA", at positions 28 to 507 of the family's 1533-position model. The record is from RNAcentral.
GACGAACGCUGGCGGCGUGCUUAACACAUGCAAGUCGAACGGAAAGGCCUGCUUUCCCUUGUGGAUUGAGGGUACUCGAGUGGCGAACGGGUGAGUAACACGAGACGUAUCUGACCCCAACUUGGGUAUAAGCUAGGGAUACGGAGCCUAAUUUCCGAUCGGAUUGCAGUUUGGUGGCGGAUGUGGGAAAGGUUUUUCUUGUGGUUGGGGAUGAGCUGGCGGCGUGUGAUCUGGUUGGUGGGGUAGUGCCCGACCACGGGGGCGACGGGUAGCCGGCCUGCGAGGGUGGGCGGCAACAUUGGGACUGAGAGCCGGCCCAGAAUCGUGCGGCAGGCAGCAGUGCGGAGUAAUGCAGCAUGGGCGGAAGCCUGAUGCAGCGACGCAGCGUGAGGGAUGACGGCCUCCGGGUUGUAAACUCCUUUCGACCGCGAGGAAGCCACCUGGUUGGAAGGGUGGUGACGGUAGUGGUAGAAGAAGCACCGGCUAACUACGUG